AGCACUCACACUCCCAUCCUCAAAUUUCUUCUUCUUAUGGUUUUAAAUUCCCCUGAGGCUUUCUCAGAAAGUCAUCAGUGUAUUGUAAUUUAGAAACGAGUGCAGAAACCUGCUGUGUCUCCAAGGGUUAACACCCUCUCCUGGACCUGUUUGCUUACAAACCGUCACCUCCUUUCCAUCCACUCAUUCCCCAGCCCCUGUCCACCCACCACGCUGUCCCCUUUCCUGUGCAAUGUGAUACUUUCCCAGAACACUCUAUUCAUGUUGACUGUCGUGAAGGUGUGCCAAAGGCACUCACUGCUCUAGAUGAUGAUGAGGUGAACUCUGAUUCUAGAUGUGGAUCCAAGAACUAACUUUUUAGUUCUAGGUUUUAUGUCCCCUCCCCCAUAGAUGCUAUAUAUCACCACCAGACUGGGACAGAUAUGUUCCCGUUGAGAAAUCCCUAUGAUAUUUGUUAUGGAAGUCCAAUCUGAUUGACACAAGUGGCUCCAAGCAUUGAAGUAUUCUAUUUCCUGAUCUCAGUAAGAGAAGCCACAGCAUGUGUUCGCAUGAGAUAUGGACAGCUUUUCUUCCUCUCUUCUCCCUCUUUGUUUCCCUCUUUUCUUUCUAUUAAAAUGUGGCUGGCUCCUGCCCCCUUUCAGCUCUCUACUUGGCACAGUUGGUGCUAUUAACGUGUUGAGAAACACAGAUGCCGUCUCCUGGUAUUCAGGAGCAAUGGAGCCUCUACGGUCUUUCUCCUUCUCCCUCUUCUCUCCCGCUAAAUCGAUAGUUCAUGGUUGCCUUCCCGUUGUUCUGCUCACAUUUGUUUCCGCGCCUCACACUUUUAGUUCAUUAGGCAAACACAGUGCAGAUGAUAAAUAGCCACUGGGAAAAUAACAUGUUAGAAAAAAAAGUACAACAAAGUGUUCACAGAAGUGGAUGUCAUAGAGCCAUUGUGUUCGGAGGCGAACAAUUUAAGGAUCCUUUGUGCUAUGGAAAAAGCAUCUGUUGCAGGGAGAGCCUCAGGAAAACACCAUCCCCACCUGAUAUUGAGAUGUUAACAGCAAGCAGAAAUAAAAGAUUCAAUGUACGCUUGGCCAGAGUCCUGUAGUCUUCCUACACAAUCCUGUAAUACCCCAUAUGUGCUUCUCAGAGUGGCACUGGGUACAGGGUCCCUGUGCCUGUGGCAUCCUCUUUGAAAUAAGGGACUUCUAGCUUCGUUUGCCCAUCAUGUGGGUCAUAACUUUCAGUGCACAUUUGCUGUACUGAAUUACAUAAGAGAUGUCUAGUGGAUCUUUUUUUUAAAAAUGAAGCUAGUCAACGUAUUUCCUUAAACACUGGAAAAGCUGUAUUUUGACUCCCCCUCCCUCCCGCUUACAUACCAAGAUGUGCCACUUAAUAAUAUGUUUCUCCCAGUUAAACUGUGUUGUGCAUGGGAUUCUUGGAAGAACAGAGGCACUUGAAAUGAGGCUGAGGACAGAAGUGGCUAAUUUCUGAAUUUCACUGCCCAAACCACUAGAGAUACAUCCUUUCGCUUCAGGAGACAGAAGCAUUACUUCAGGAACACAAAAGGCGAAAGCGUGUGCGAACAGGCAGCUACCUCUCUUGACUUAAGUACAGUGCUAUGGCAGAGUCCUUACUGCAAACUGCGAGUGUGUUCAGUUGUUCCCUGAUUUGUCCUGUCUGCGUUCCACCUGUUCAUCAUUAUCUCUGUCCAUGGAGCCAGUUUAAAAUUUCAAGGUUGAAAUCUCCAGUCCACGGCCUGUCUAUAACACCUCCCUUGGCCCUCACCCCGGCUCUGUUUCUCCUGGUUCUCUGUUUUGCACAUUGGAGGAGCUAUAGAGCUCAGUGUGUUGGGAAACAGAUCCCACACUUUCUCCCUCUUCUGAAACCCAAGGACGAUGCUUCUUAAGGUAACAGGAAGCACUCUGGGAACGGCUUCUCUGAGCUCCUGCCGUGGGUGAACAAUAGACCAUACCACAAAUCACCCUACGCCUGUGGGCCAAGCUUUUAUCAUACCUCUUCUCAGGCUGAAGAGAAUUAUCUCUUAUUUUCAGAAUGAGUAGAUGGAAAUAAUUGACGGCAAAGAACUUCCCUGAGGCAGCGUACCGUAGAGCAACCUGGUAACGAAGCAUGUGGAAACCAACAUUCCGGAGUGUUAAUCAUUCACCAAACAGUGGGACUCAGCUUAGUACUGUAUUUAAAGGGUUUUAAAUUAAUAAUCCACCACGAGGAUCAGUGCAAGAAGACAUGCGAUGGAAACUUACUACAGUCAAGUGGGGAAAGCGGCUCAACCAAAACUCAGAUGGCUCCCUACCUCAAAGCAGAGAAACACAUUCUUAAGCUGACAUGUGAGGAAAAAAGGCUUGGGGGAAAAUCAAAGGUACAAGGAAACCCAAAGACCAGAAACAGAGCCUGGGCCUUGUGCAUCCUUCAGAAACAAAAGGAGCAGGUAGCCCACAGUUCCAGCAGCCAGGAAGGGAAGUAGAGAAGGGAAGGAGACUUCGAACUCUCCAGAACAACUUGUUGGGGGGUAUUGGCAUUUGGCAGGAUGGUAAUUCUGCGGCCACACUUUCUCCCUUUUACACUUCACUCUUUCAGGCACUUCUACAAACCACUCAAGUGUCUCUCUCAAUUUUAUGGAAACCCAUUGUGAGUCCGAUGCCCCAUAAUUCACUUUUCCUCCACUUCUCUGCUUGUAACACGUUGCUUCCUGUAGAGAAGGGACCAUUGAAUUUUCAAAUAGCACACGCAAAAAAUUACACAUUUCAACUGAAAAUGUAUUUUUUUAAACCAACUGUCAAAAAUCCAUUUUUAGGAAAUCAAUUCCACACCUGAUUUCUUACAACAGAGUAGAGAGACUUAUCAAGUGGCUCUGGGGGAGUGAGUAUGUGAGAGGUGCUUUCUCAUUUUUAGACUAGGCCUUCUUCCACUAUCUUUAUUGUGCCUCCUUUUGUCUUCCCUGAAUAUAGGCUACUUUUAGCUUAGACCAGCUCUUUGCACA
Long non-coding RNA from Mus musculus (house mouse), 2983 nucleotides. RefSeq annotates it as predicted gene, 51772. The record is from RefSeq and is a predicted model, not a curated record. The transcript is spliced from 3 exons. NCBI's taxonomy places the organism in Eukaryota, Metazoa, Chordata, Mammalia, Rodentia, Muridae.